AAGUCGUAACAAGGUUUCCGUAGGUGAACCUGCGGAAGGAUCAUUACCAACGUAUCCACGUUUACCCACCCUUUGUGAAUUUGUUUUUCUCCCUCCCUUUUAAUUUUUAUUAAUGUAUAUGAAUAGGUUUGUAAAGAAGACCAUGAGGACAGUAGUUUGCCGGUUUGUUUCACUACAAGCUGGGUCAUGGAUUUCAACGGGAUUUGACUUUGUCGAAUUCGACUAUUGCAAUACAGGGGAGACUUUAUCUUAUGCUGCAUAGUGUACUGCUGGCUAUGUGCAUAGGAUUUGUUUUUACUACACUUUAUCACCUUAAUUUUUGCUAGUUGACUGAUCUGAACUGUUGAUGUUUUCAUCGACACGUUUAAUUUAUUUAAACAUUAAGAAACAACUCUUAGCAAUGGAUAUCUAGGUUCUC
This 418-nucleotide unclassified non-coding RNA is filed under the name fungal sp. RNAcentral's name for it is "partial internal transcribed spacer region". The stretch from base 1 to 46 matches the Rfam family "Eukaryotic small subunit ribosomal RNA", at positions 1786 to 1831 of the family's 1831-position model. Lineage: Eukaryota; Fungi. The record is from RNAcentral.